UGCAGAAUCCCGUGAACCAUCGAGUUUUUGAACGCAAGUUGCGCCCGAAGCCGUCAGGCCGAGGGCACGUCUGCCUGGGUGUCACGC
RNAcentral lists this ribosomal RNA (87 nucleotides) under Mastixia pentandra subsp. chinensis. RNAcentral describes it as "partial 5.8S ribosomal RNA". It matches the Rfam family "5.8S ribosomal RNA", at positions 73 to 154 of the family's 154-position model. Rfam says of the family: 5.8S ribosomal RNA (5.8S rRNA) is a component of the large subunit of the eukaryotic ribosome. It is transcribed by RNA polymerase I as part of the 45S precursor that also contains 18S and 28S rRNA. The record is from RNAcentral. Lineage: Eukaryota; Viridiplantae; Streptophyta; Magnoliopsida; Cornales; Nyssaceae.